RNAcentral lists this ribosomal RNA (568 nucleotides) under uncultured Enterococcus sp. Its description in RNAcentral is "bacterial SSU rRNA". It matches the Rfam family "Bacterial small subunit ribosomal RNA", at positions 335 to 894 of the family's 1533-position model. The record is from RNAcentral. Lineage: Bacteria; Bacillati; Bacillota; Bacilli; Lactobacillales; Enterococcaceae.
ACUCCUACGGGAGGCAGCAGUAGGGAAUCUUCGGCAAUGGACGAAAGUCUGACCGAGCAACGCCGCGUGAGUGAAGAAGGUUUUCGGAUCGUAAAACUCUGUUGUUAGAGAAGAACAAGGAUGAGAGUAACUGUUCAUCCCUUGACGGUAUCUAACCAGAAAGCCACGGCUAACUACGUGCCAGCAGCCGCGGUAAUACGUAGGUGGCAAGCGUUGUCCGGAUUUAUUGGGCGUAAAGCGAGCGCAGGCGGUUUCUUAAGUCUGAUGUGAAAGCCCCCGGCUCAACCGGGGAGGGUCAUUGGAAACUGGGAGACUUGAGUGCAGAAGAGGAGAGUGGAAUUCCAUGUGUAGCGGUGAAAUGCGUAGAUAUAUGGAGGAACACCAGUGGCGAAGGCGGCUCUCUGGUCUGUAACUGACGCUGAGGCUCGAAAGCGUGGGGAGCAAACAGGAUUAGAUACCCUGGUAGUCCACGCCGUAAACGAUGAGUGCUAAGUGUUGGAGGGUUUCCGCCCUUCAGUGCUGCAGCUAACGCAUUAAGCACUCCGCCUGGGGAGUACGACCGCAAGGU